This 480-nucleotide ribosomal RNA is filed under the name uncultured bacterium. RNAcentral's name for it is "bacterial SSU rRNA". It matches the Rfam family "Bacterial small subunit ribosomal RNA", at positions 328 to 793 of the family's 1533-position model. The record is from RNAcentral.
UCAGUCGACUCCUACGGGGAGGCAGCAGUGGGGGAAUAUUGCACAAUGGGCGCAAGCCUGAUGCAGCCAUGCCGCGUGUGUGAAGAAGGACCUUCGGGUUGUAAAGCACUUUCAGUCGUGAGGAAGGUAAUGUAGUUAAUAGCUGCAUUAUUUGACGUUAGCGACAGAAGAAGCACCGGCUAACUCCGUGCCAGCAGCCGCGGUAAUACGGAGGGUGCGAGCGUUAAUCGGAAUUACUGGGCGUAAAGCGCAUGCAGGUGGUUUGUUAAGUCAGAUGUGAAAGCCCGGGGCUCAACCUCGGAAUAGCAUUUGAAACUGGCAGACUAGAGUACUGUGGAGGGGGGGUAGGAAUUUCAGGUGUAGCGGUGAAAUGCGUAGAGAUCUGAAGGAAUACCGGUGGCGAAGGCGGCCCCCCUGGACAGAUACUGACACUCAGAUGCGAAAGCGUGGGGAGCCAAACAGGAUUAGAUACCCUGGUAG